Molecule: long non-coding RNA, 244 nt
Filed under: Nicotiana benthamiana
Lineage: Eukaryota; Viridiplantae; Streptophyta; Magnoliopsida; Solanales; Solanaceae
Description: long non-coding RNA (NBEN_LNC021022)
Source: RNAcentral
GGAAAUUGAGAAGCAAAGAGGAUUUAAGCAGAAGCAGGCUUAGCAAGAGCAGUAACAACACCAGCAAAACCAAAAUGAGAACCCAAAUGAAAUUUGAAACAAUUCAAAGCCAGCCAGUCUGAUAUCAACCCAGUUGACUUUAAUACCAGACCUCAAACAACCAACAGUCAUCUCAUUUUAACAUAGUAGAAUAAGGUAAUUAUCUCAGAAGCUCAAAUUUUCAAAAAAAAAGACUCAACAGGUG